This 861-nucleotide small RNA is filed under the name Pan troglodytes (chimpanzee). RNAcentral describes it as "retained intron". The record is from RNAcentral. Lineage: Eukaryota; Metazoa; Chordata; Mammalia; Primates; Hominidae.
GUAUCUCCCCCUUCCAGACCGAGUUCUGCAAUCCUGCCUUCGAGCCUGAGUCUGGGCCACCCUGCCCUCCCCCAGUUUUCCCAGAGGAUGCCAGCUACAGCGUCCCAGCUCCCUGGCAUGGUCGGCGUCCUCGAGGGCUACGGCCAGACUGCCGCUUCUCCUGGCUCUGUGUCCUCCUGCUCUCCAGCCUGCUCCUCCUGCUGCUUGGGCUGCUGGUGGCCAUCAUCCUGGCCCAGCUGCAGGCUGCAGCCCCAUCUGGGGCGUCCCAUAGCCCACUGCCUGCCGGAGGCCUUGCCACGACCACCACCACCCCCACCAUCACCACCUCUCAGGCAGCUGGGACCCCUAAAGGGCAGCAGGAGUCAGGCGUGAGCCCCUCCCCACAGUCCACCUGUGGAGGCCUCCUCUCUGGCCCAAGGGGCUUCUUCAGCAGCCCUAACUACCCAGACCCUUACCCCCCCAACACCCACUGCGUGUGGCAUAUCCAGGUGGCCACAGACCAUGCAAUACAGCUCAAGAUCGAAGCCCUCAGCAUAGAGAGUGUGGCCUCUUGCCUUUUUGAUCGCUUGGAACUCUCCCCUGAGCCUGAAGGCCCCCUCCUCAGGGUUUGUGGAAGGGUGCCUCCCCCCACGCUCAACACCAAUGCCAGCCACCUCCUGGUGGUCUUCGUCUCUGACAGCAGUGUGGAAGGAUUUGGUUUCCAUGCCUGGUACCAGGCUGUGGCCCCUGGGCACGGGAGCUGUGCCCAUGAUGAGUUCCGCUGUGACCAGCUCAUCUGCCUGCUACCUGACUCAGUGUGUGAUGGUUUUGCCAACUGUGCUGACGGCAGUGAUGAGACCAAUUGCAGUGCCAAGUUCUCGG